UUUAAAGUUGAAUUAUUUUUAAAUAUAGAAUUGUAUGCUAUUUUUUUCAUUCGAAAAUGGAAUAAGAGAAUUCAGAAAUAACUAAUUUCAAAACAAAAAACAAUCAUGGGCCAAUUGAACCUAUAUAUGUUAGCGGGAUAGCUCAGGUGAGCUUCCUGCCUUCCACAAUUAAGGUGGAGAGUUCAAACCCCGUUAGAUAUAGAAUCCCCUACUUUCAGAUGUAAUAACAAAAAAUUAAAUUAAAAAUAUUCCAUCUAUUUCUUAGCAUGAUUACAAUUAUUUUGGUGCAGGUGGGAACCUCAACUUUAGUGCCAGGAGCAGAUCACGCAUUGAGGAGCAUACACAACAUAAAAGAAGCCAUUCCUCAUAUAUGGGAAGAAGAUGGAGAAUAUCCAGAUCAGGUUCAAGUUAUCCAAUCCAAUGCCGCAGAAUUAACUGUUGUACAAGCAUAACGUACUCCAUGUAUGAAUUUCUAGAAAGAUAUAUUUGCGUGAAAUUAAAUAAGCCAUUAUAUAUCCAGUGUGAUAUAUAGAACUGUAUAAACAGUUACUCUAAUCUACAACGAGUUUGAGUUUCUUACAAACAUUAUUUGCAGCUCUUUUUAGUGAGU
RNAcentral lists this long non-coding RNA (610 nucleotides) under Nicotiana tabacum (common tobacco). RNAcentral's name for it is "long non-coding RNA (NTAB_LNC007323)". Lineage: Eukaryota; Viridiplantae; Streptophyta; Magnoliopsida; Solanales; Solanaceae. The record is from RNAcentral.